UUUCUGCCACCGAAUACAUUAGCAUGGGAUAAUGGAAUAGGACCCUGUCCUCCUAUUUUCAGUUGGUUUUGGCAGCGCGAGGACUAGGGUAAUGAUUAAUAGGGAUAGUUGGGGGCAUUAAUAUUUAAUUGUCAGAGGUGAAAUUCUUGGAUUUAUGAAAGAUUAACUUCUGCGAAAGCAUCUGCCAAGGAUGUUUUCAUUAAUCAAGAACGAAAGUUAGGGGAUCGAAGACGAUCAGAUACCGUCGUAGUCUUAACCAUAAACGAUGCCGACCAGCGAUUAGGAGACGUUGAAUACAAAACACCACCAUCGGCGCGGUCGUCCUUGGCGUUCGUGUUCACGCACGAGCGCGAGGGCGGUUUAGCCCGAUGGCACCGGUGAAUGACUCCCCUAGCAGCUUGUGAGA
This 406-nucleotide ribosomal RNA is filed under the name Acanthamoeba sp. Its description in RNAcentral is "SSU rRNA". It matches the Rfam family "Eukaryotic small subunit ribosomal RNA", at positions 786 to 1095 of the family's 1831-position model. Lineage: Eukaryota; Discosea; Longamoebia; Acanthamoebidae. The record is from RNAcentral.